AAGUGAUUCUUCCAAGGCCAAACUAGAGGCACAGAGCUGGAAAAACUUCAUCCCCACUCAGCACAUACUAGGGAGGUAACUUGCCAGCUUUGCUUUGGGUCAUAGUUCUUACAGCUAACUUAUGUGUUCCAGAAAAUUUACCGAGAAAUCGACGUUGACAGGUCUGGUACCAUGAAUUCCUAUGAAAUGCGGAAGGCGUUAGAAGAAGCAGGUUUCAAGAUGCCCUGUCAACUCCACCAAGUCAUCGUUGCUCGGUUUGCAGAUGACCAGCUCAUCAUCGAUUUUGAUAAUUUUGUUCGGUGUUUGGUUCGGCUGGAAACGCUAUUCAAGAUAUUUAAGCAGCUGGAUCCCGAGAAUACUGGAACAAUAGAGCUCGACCUUAUCUCUGUGAGUCAGCAGCUCGUGCCCCCGCCUUGCUUCUAAGGGGAUGGGGGAGGCAUGGGGCGGAAAGGGCUGUUACUUGAGUGAUCUGCUUUUUCAAGUUUUGCUUUAAAGAGCUCUUGGUCUGUCGGGGCCAGGCCUGUAACCGGUUGUAAGAUCCCACAAUGCACUUUUACUUGCAGUUGUUUUCCAACCACCUAUUCUCAAGUCCAAAAUGCACGCCUGGCUCCCUCUUCCCAUGAGCUUUGACUUGAGUGUAGCUCAAGGUUAAACUAAGGAGUGGCUGCAGGAUCAUGCUUAGAAAAAUGAACUCCUGAUUAGCAUGCAAGGGAGAACAUGUUUAUAUAAAGAAAUCCUUCAGCUGAAAUUCAAGUUGGGUUUUGGGAAGAUCCAUCAUUCUUAGAAGGGAUCUACUUAAAAUACUUUAAGCAAAUUAGUUUUCUCUACUCCCUCCCCGUUUAAGAUAAAACCAAUACUAGUAAAUACGUUUGCCAUUUUUUAUUAUUAUUGCACUCAUGUGUCUGGAACCCUAGCAAUACACAUCUCUGAAAUGAUCAUCAAUCUGAAUUAAGUGGGUAUGCUAAUUUCACAAAAAGCAAAGCGUAAAAUGUUCUCGUGUCAUCCCAAUGACAGGAAGUUCUCUCACUGAAAGAAAGAAGCCAGGUGGGGUAUACUUCCAUUAUCACCUGGCUCCAGUCAGCAUUUCCUCUAUACUCAGGGAAGGCCACAGAGGGCUGGGCGAAGUGGCUGACACUGGGUGAGAAUGGCAGUUGUCAGUCCUGUCCGUGUAACAGAGGAGCGAAGUGGUGAGGAGGGCAGGUCUAAGGCACUGGCAGCUCUUUUCCGUGGAUUUUGAACUCUGGAGGAAGGCAGCAACUAAAUAACUGUCUCAUUCUGCUAUUAUGCAUUGUAUUAGCAAAGUGAAAAUAUAGUCUAUCUGGUUACAAAUAACACUAACUUGCUUAAAACUUUACAUAUCCUAGGAAAUAUCUCUACCCCUAGAUUGCAAUGUAGAGUCAACCCCAUCUCU
RNAcentral lists this small RNA (1411 nucleotides) under Pan troglodytes (chimpanzee). RNAcentral's name for it is "processed transcript". The record is from RNAcentral. Lineage: Eukaryota; Metazoa; Chordata; Mammalia; Primates; Hominidae.